GACCUCUCGGGGUUACAGCCUUGCUGAAUUAUUCACCCUUGUCUUUUGCGUACUUCUUGUUUCCUUGGUGGGUUCGCCCACCACUAGGACAAACAUAAACCUUUUGUAAUUGCAAUCAGCGUCAGUAACAAAUUAAUAAUUACAACUUUCAACAACGGAUCUCUUGGUUCUGGCAUCGAUGAAGAACGCAGCGAAAUGCGAUAAGUAGUGUGAAUUGCAGAAUUCAGUGAAUCAUCGAAUCUUUGAACGCACAUUGCGCCCUUUGGUAUUCCAAAGGGCAUGCCUGUUCGAGCGUCAUUUGUACCCUCAAGCUUUGCUUGGUGUUGGGCGUCUUGUCUCUAGCUUUGCUGGAGACUCGCCUUAAAGUAAUUGGCAGCCGGCCUACUGGUUUCGGAGCGCAGCACAAGUCGCACUCUCUAUCAGCAAAGGUCUAGCAUCCAUUAAGCCUUUUUUUCAACUUUUGACCUCGGAUCAGGUAGGGAUACCCGCUGAACUUAAGCAUAUCAA
This 507-nucleotide ribosomal RNA is filed under the name Alternaria sp. RNAcentral's name for it is "eukaryotic LSU rRNA". The stretch from base 144 to 297 matches the Rfam family "5.8S ribosomal RNA". Lineage: Eukaryota; Fungi; Ascomycota; Dothideomycetes; Pleosporales; Pleosporaceae. The record is from RNAcentral.